RNAcentral lists this ribosomal RNA (694 nucleotides) under Paenibacillus taichungensis. Its description in RNAcentral is "bacterial SSU rRNA". It matches the Rfam family "Bacterial small subunit ribosomal RNA", at positions 1 to 711 of the family's 1533-position model. The record is from RNAcentral. Lineage: Bacteria; Bacillati; Bacillota; Bacilli; Caryophanales; Paenibacillaceae.
UAGAGUUUUGAUCCUGGCUCAGGACGAACGCUGGCGGCAUGCCUAAUACAUGCAAGUCGAGCGGACUUGAAGAGAAGCUUGCUUCUCGAUGUUAGCGGCGGACGGGUGAGUAACACGUAGGCAACCUGCCCUCAAGCUUGGGACAACUACCGGAAACGGUAGCUAAUACCGAAUAGUUGUUUUCUUCCCUGAAGAACUGGAAAGACGGAGCAAUCUGUCACUUGGGGAUGGGCCUGCGGCGCAUUAGCUAGUUGGUGGGGUAACGGCUCACCAAGGCGACGAUGCGUAGCCGACCUGAGAGGGUGAUCGGCCACACUGGGACUGAGACACGGCCCAGACUCCUACGGGAGGCAGCAGUAGGGAAUCUUCCGCAAUGGGCGAAAGCCUGACGGAGCAAUGCCGCGUGAGUGAUGAAGGUUUUCGGAUCGUAAAGCUCUGUUGCCAGGGAAGAACGCUUGGGAGAGUAACUGCUCUCAAGGUGACGGUACCUGAGAAGAAAGCCCCGGCUAACUACGUGCCAGCAGCCGCGGUAAUACGUAGGGGGCAAGCGUUGUCCGGAAUUAUUGGGCGUAAAGCGCGCGCAGGCGGUCAUUUAAGUCUGGUGUUUAAUCCCGGGGCUCAACCCCGGAUCGCAGAAAACUUGAGUGCAGAAGAGGAGAGUGGAAAGGCGUAACGGAUAUGUGGAGGAACACCA